AAUAUUGAAAUAUUUACACGUAAAAAUUAAUCCUGCAUAAAAUUUUUUGAAGAAGUAUUAAUAUAUGUUAUUAUUAUUAUUUUUUAAGAGAUAGGUAGCAUGCUAUCCAUUUCGUUUAUUUUAUUUAGAAAUAAGUUUAGCUAGAAAUGUGAAUCAAUUAUGAUUCGAACUUGAAAACUCGGAUACCAACCACCAAGGUCUUUGCCGUUUACUUUAAGGACAGUCAGUUAAUAUAUAUUAUUAUUAGAUCCAAACUUAUGGCUUAGAUGAUUUGG
Molecule: long non-coding RNA, 275 nt
Filed under: Ananas comosus (pineapple)
Lineage: Eukaryota; Viridiplantae; Streptophyta; Magnoliopsida; Poales; Bromeliaceae
Description: long non-coding RNA (ACOM_LNC000015)
Source: RNAcentral